RNAcentral lists this long non-coding RNA (1084 nucleotides) under Equus caballus (horse). RNAcentral describes it as "lncRNA (ENSECAG00000050950.1)". Lineage: Eukaryota; Metazoa; Chordata; Mammalia; Perissodactyla; Equidae. The record is from RNAcentral.
GGAGCAGAGAUGGGGCGGAGCUAAGGUGCUGUGGUUGCAGGGAUUAUCGUUGAAGAACCACGGAGCCCGCCAGGGGCGGAAUCUGAGAGUCUUCAUUUCUAAAACUUCCAGGUGAUACUGAGGAACACCGAGAGGCAAGGAGUGACUGAUGCAAAGCGAAAGCGUCCAGAAGGAGGCUGUUAGUUGUUGAGAGGAUUAGCCUGAGGAUAUCAGUCAUUCCUGAGUUCUGAGCAAAGAGAAAAACAAGACCUAUAGCUCUUGCUCAAGGCACAGUUGCGUGGCAUCAGAAAUCUAAACAGGCCGUUGCAUAAUCAGUUCCCUGGCAGAACCUAAGUAUGGGAUGCCAGAGACGGUUUGCUGGAGAAGGUAGCCCUCUGACAGGUCUGUGCAAGGAACACUGUCAGCAUUACUCAUCAACUUUGGAGAAGAUGUUAAUCAGGCUCCACAUGAGAGGUUUCAGCUUAACUGGCAAAGCUUCAGGACUUCUAAAAGGCAGGCAUUACUCUGAUACCCCUGUUGUCAUGGAGUACAACUCAGUGUUCAGGGUUUUCUUUAUGCUUGAGUCUACUCAUGAAAAUGUCAAUACCCAAAACUUGAUUUCAAGGUCAUGACCUCAGGGUGUAGAGGAACAUAGUACUUGAUGCAGAAAUUAUGGAGACGUCCAGUGUGCAAAAAAGAAUGGAUGAGUACUGUAAAGGAUCUUGGGUUUUUCAGAAGGAACUAACAAUGGUGAAUACAAUUUAACUUGAAAAAUUGAAGGGCACAUGCAAAGAGCAGAAAAGGAAAUUACAUUUGUAGUUUAGAACUUUCAGAAAAACAGCUCAUAAUCUAGAAAGAAGCUGACAAGUCAAUGGUCAAUUGAAGGAAUAGGUACAGAAAAGCAGUAGUAGCCAAGUCUUUGGGGGAGCAAAGCAGUUUUCCCAGAGGAAGUGAUGUCUGAGCUGAGACCAGAGGAUGAAGAUCAGCCAGGAAGAUGGGAACUGUGUGGCGAAGGGAGUUGGAGACCUUCCAUGUUGUGAUCCGGGUGGGCUUACCUGGAUCACAUAGGUAAACAUUCCUUGAGCUACAAACUUGAGAUAUGUGC